CAUCCCAUAACGGGAGCGGUGAGCGGCACCGGGGACACUCAGUAGGCCGGGGCACGAGUAGGGAUGAUGGGAGCGGCGCCCGGUCGGCAGAUCUCCCGUAUAAAUCGUCUACCAUCCACGUAGAGCUCCACGUGAAGAGCUUGGGCUGUGCAGAUCCCUGUAGAUCCACGAUCUCUCCCCUACCUGAGGAUCCAGAUCACCCACGGGUAGAAUGACAGCCGGUGUUAUGCAGUGGUAAUGGGUUUGCUGUAGGGAGCUGACUAUAUUCUACAAGAGAUGAAUUCUGUCAGGUUGAGCAUGUAAGCCACCAAGAUUCUAUCUUGUCAAAAGACAGAAACAAGCCAGUGGGUGGAGACUACCUGCUCUGAUGUCUUCAAUAAACUCAGGAGAUCCUGUUCCCUUUUAUCUAUAGCACAUCCUCAGAAAUAGAGCAGUAUUGAGCAGUGUAAGCUGUAAAUCCAGUACUGGGAGUGUAGUUCUCUUUGAAGUCU
Long non-coding RNA from Hyla sarda, 491 nucleotides. RefSeq lists it as uncharacterized. The transcript has 3 exons. The record is from RefSeq and is a predicted model, not a curated record. NCBI's taxonomy places the organism in Eukaryota, Metazoa, Chordata, Amphibia, Anura, Hylidae.